UACGGGGGGAGCAAGCGUUGUUCGGAUUUACUGGGCGUAAAGCGUGCGCAGGCGGUUUUGUAAGACAGAGGUGAAAUCCCCGGGCUCAACCUGGGAACUGCCUUUGUGACUGCAAGGCUUGAGUGCGGCAGAGGGGGAUGGAAUUCCGCGUGUAGCAGUGAAAUGCGUAGAUAUGCGGAGGAACACCGAUGGCGAAGGCAAUCCCCUGGGCCUGCACUGACGCUCAUGCACGAAAGCGUGGGGAGCGAACAGG
RNAcentral lists this ribosomal RNA (253 nucleotides) under uncultured bacterium. RNAcentral's name for it is "partial 16S ribosomal RNA". It matches the Rfam family "Bacterial small subunit ribosomal RNA", at positions 524 to 776 of the family's 1533-position model. The record is from RNAcentral.